AUUGAACGCUGGCGGCAUGCCUUACACAUGCAAGUCGAGCGGCGGCACGGGUGCUUGCACCUGGUGGCGAGUGGCGAACGGGUGAGUAAUACAUCGGAACGUACCUUAUCGUAGGGGAUAACGCAGCGAAAGCUGUGCUAAUACCGCAUACGCCCUGAGGGGGAAAGCGGGGGAUCGAAAGACCUCGCGCGAUUAGAGCGGCCGAUGCCUGAUUAGCUUGUUGGUGGGGUAAAAGCCCACCAAGGCGACGAUCAGUAGCUGGUCUGAGAGGACGAUCAGCCACACUGGGACUGAGACACGGCCCAGACUCCUACGGGAGGCAGCAGUGGGGAAUUUUGGACAAUGGGGGCAACCCUGAUCCAGCAAUGCCGCGUGAGUGAAGAAGGCCUUCGGGUUGUAAAGCUCUUUUGUCAGGGAAGAAACACCGGCUCUAACACAGUCCGGGAAUGACGGUACCUGAAGAAUAAGCACGGGCUAACUACGUGCCAGCCGCCGCCGUAA
RNAcentral lists this ribosomal RNA (501 nucleotides) under uncultured bacterium. Its description in RNAcentral is "partial 16S ribosomal RNA". It matches the Rfam family "Bacterial small subunit ribosomal RNA", at positions 29 to 523 of the family's 1533-position model. The record is from RNAcentral.